Long non-coding RNA from Terrapene triunguis (Three-toed box turtle), 229 nucleotides. RefSeq lists it as uncharacterized. The transcript has 3 exons. NCBI's taxonomy places the organism in Eukaryota, Metazoa, Chordata, Testudines, Emydidae. The record is from RefSeq and is a predicted model, not a curated record.
AGGCAACCUUUGAUUGCUGGCAUGUAUCUUAUGAUGUCUGUGAAUACUGUUAUACCACCAGGGGAAAAAGUGGUUGAUGCAGAUAUUGCCUGCCAUUAUCAAAAGUAUCCAAUGCACCUCUUUGCCUAUAGAGUUCAUACACACCGAUUAGGUAAGGUGGUAAGUGGAUACAGAGUGAGAAAUGGUCAGUGGACCUUGAUUGGUAGACAGAGUCCGCAACUACCACAGG